RNAcentral lists this transfer RNA (83 nucleotides) under Daphnia pulex (common water flea). RNAcentral's name for it is "tRNA-Val". It matches the Rfam family "tRNA". Rfam says of the family: Transfer RNA (tRNA) molecules are approximately 80 nucleotides in length. Their secondary structure includes four short double-helical elements and three loops (D, anti-codon, and T loops). The record is from RNAcentral. Lineage: Eukaryota; Metazoa; Arthropoda; Branchiopoda; Diplostraca; Daphniidae.
GUCAGGAUGGCCGAGUGGUCUAAGGCGACAGUCUCACGUUUUGGUCUUCAAUGAAGGCGUGGGUUCAAAUCCCACUCCUGACA